Molecule: long non-coding RNA, 1189 nt
Filed under: Mytilus galloprovincialis (Mediterranean mussel)
Lineage: Eukaryota; Metazoa; Mollusca; Bivalvia; Mytilida; Mytilidae
Source: RNAcentral
CGUUGAUGUCCGUUAGACGUCCGUUCUUAUCCGUUAGGCGUCCGUCCAUAUCCGUUGCGUGUCCGUUAAGCGUCCGUUUUAUCCGUUGACGUCCGUUCUGUCCGUGGAAAAUUUUGAGCAUGUUCAAAACUUUGAACGGACGUCCAACGGAUAAAAUGUCCGUUGAACGUCCGUUAGGCGUCCGUUAGGCGUCCGUUUUGUACGGUACUCGUCCGUUUUGUAUCCGUUAUGCAUCCGUUGGAGAUCCGGUAGACCAAUUCACCAACGAACGUCUACCGGACGCCUAACGGACGCCGAACGGAUAAAACGGAUGUGAAACAGACAUUAACGGAAGGAUAACGGUUAAAACGGAUGCCUACUGAUAGUUUAUUCUCUUAAAACCAUGCAAGUACAAAGGUUACAGAGAAGUUGAAAAAUAAUAUACAUAAAAAAAACAAAAUAUGCAUUAGAAAUGCAUAAAAUUCAAAAAUACUAGAUGUAAAACGGACAAAUGUCAAUUGAAAUUUCGCGUCAGAAAUGCCAAUGUAUGGUAUGUUAGAUUUUCUUGAGUGUCAUGAUUAUUUAUUAUUCGUGAUGGAUCUUGGAGUAAGAGCAUGUCUUCGCUACCAAGCAGCUCUUAUUCGGGCCAGACUCAACUUAAAUGUAGCAAAUAUAAACCUUAUAGCUGUCGAAAGGAGAAGAAGGAGAAGACAAAGGAGAUGGUGGACACGACCAUGGCUCAGUCCUGAAAGACGACGCAGUUUUGGUCUCAUGACCGAACUUAGGCGGGAGGAUCGGCAUUCCUUUGUACACUUCCUUGAAAUGCCCACAGAGAUGUUCGACGAGAUGGUGCAGCGGGUUAGGCCUCGCAAAGCCAAGCAGAAUACCUUUUACAGAAAUCCGCUGGAACCAGGACUCAAGUAAGCAAUUACACUUAGACACCUUGCUUCUGGAGCAAAAUAUCGUAGCAUGCAGUACGGAUGGAGAGUUCCGCAUAACACCACAUCCGUUUUCAUACCAGAGGUACAUAAUAUAAACAAAUUCAGAAAAUCAACUUAAACUCUAUAAGACUGAAAUACCACACUACUUCUACCUUGAUUUUUUUUAAUCAGAGGAGCUUUAUGUUUGCACAAAUAUCAUGCUAAACAAGACGUAAUACAAAAUAAAAUCAACUAAACCAGUUAACUCAAAAAGUGACCCUCGUGUGAAG